CUCUGAGGAGAACAAAUCACUCUCCUGAAUCCUGCUUCUCUGCCUGGAGAGCCAGGGUGCCUCCACGUGCCACCGAGCCAGGACCCAAGCUCCACGAGGAUAGAAGCUCCUUUAUUCGGAAGUACCCUCUGUCUCUCUUCAUCUGGUUGCUAACUUGUAUCCUUAAAGGAAUCCUUUAUUAAAUUGGUAAAGGUUCUGCUCCACCUGAUGGCCCACCUGCAGCUGUGAAGACAACGAAGGUGUGUUUCCCACCACCCCACUUCUGUCUGGUCCGCUCCUGCUCAGUCUCGGUUCCACUGAAACUCCAGGUAAAGAAUGAUUUUCAGAGUCAAGAUGAGUGACAGCCUGGGUGGAGGAAGAGGAAUGAGAUCAGUCUGGCCACCACGUCCCUCCUCUCACUGAACUCCAGGCUGGGAUAGCUGCUGAGUUAACCCUUUAGUGGACAUUUGCCAAAGAUGAGAAGUGAUUGCUGAGUGUGCUCCACCUCUCGGUGAGCCCUUCCUCUGAGCCUCCCGCCCACCCCAGUUUCUCUCUCCUGAGCUUGUGUCUGGAUCUACUCUUCUGGCUCCAAGCAUAGAGCCCCAAGUUUCUGAGUAGUCUUUUUCUUUUUUUUUACUGCAUGACUUGACUACAUGACAGAACUGGGUCUUCUUUUUUUUAAAUUGAAGUAUAGUUUAUAUACAAUUAUAUUGGUUUCAAGUAUAUAGCAUAGUUGUUCAACAGGUACACACAUUAUUAAAUCCUCACCCCACUAGUGCAGUUACUAUCUGUCAGCAUAGGAAGAUGGUACAGAACCAUGGCUAUAUCCACGAUCCUGUAUUACCAUCCCUGUGACCAACUUAUAUUAUGAUUGGGAUUUUUGUGCCCUUUUAUCUCCCUCAUCCUCAUUUUGAGCAGUCUUUUUAGAUACCUCAUUCAGACUCCACAGUUUGACUGAAGAUUUUUUACAUUUGAAGUUUCAUGGUAUUUGCUAAACUACUGCUUUCUCUUUCAUUCAAUAAACAUGCAUUGUUGUCUUAAGUUCUUUCCCUGUGCAUGAAAUUUGUCAGACCUGUGGUGCAAUCUAAAGCUUAAGUCCACGUGGCUCUUACUCCUUCUGAGAACUAAAUUCUAGUAGGGAAGAUAAAUUAGAAAUACUUAUUUGACAAAUAUUCAUUGAACUUGCAUGAUGGUAGGUGCUAGGGCUGCAAAGAAGACCUGGACAAAACACUGGCGCUCACGGAGUGGGGAGAAUUGUCAGUAUGGAUUGACAGUGAGAGUCAUUCACUGAGCCUAACCAUGAGACCCCUGGGAGAUGUUUGACAUUCUCAUUUAGACCAGGGAAGGCUUAGUCUUAUAAGACAGUCUUACAAAGGUAGACCUAAGAAUUCUUUAAUAUCUUCUCUUAUAAACAGUUGCUUGAGGGAUCAGUGUAGGAGUCCAUGAAAGGAUGUUUUAGUUAGGUACAGAUUGGAACUCCAACCCAAAUCACAACAACUAAUCUUACCCAACACUGGCCCCCAGUUUCUUCUGGAGCACAAAGGAGAUCAGACAGAUUCUAUGAUGCCUUCCCAUGCCCUGGAUGGAGAUUUUCAGGUACAGCAAGAUAUCACUGCUUUCAGAAGAAAGGAGUGGUGAGAGGGCAGGACCACUAAUUAGUUUUCAUGACAGAGAUCCUAAAGAAGCCAGAGGUGCUUACUAUGAUUUUAGUUAACUGGAAACACACUUGAGUGUUAGACAACCAAAAUUGUUGCUUUCAUCUGAACUUGAGAACAAUUAGAAGUGGUGGGUUUAAUUAUGCUGCCUGCCUCCACACUAAACAAUAUGCACCUAUUAAAUUCGUCCAGAGCUGACUGGGUCUAUGAGACAAUAUAAUCCAGCUCAGAGUGGCAGGACAGCCGACCGUGUAUGUUGUGGCUGCUGUACUGUAGUCUGCAGGUGUUGGUAAGAGUUGUGCUCUAUUUCUUGCUCUUUAAAUCUUUUUGAAACCUCACUGCCAUAUAAUGACUUAGGAUUUUGCAUCCUGAGCAAGUCAUCAAAAAUAUUCACAUUUGGUGCUUAUCCCUAAAAGAAGACUCUCAUUUGGUUAUAAAAGACUGGAUGGCUUUUAAGUGACAGUUCACAAAUUGUCUCCUGUAUGAUGCUGGGACCCUAGAGAAAGUCUAUCAGACAUUUUUAACUAAAAAAAAAAAAUUAGCAUUUAUUUAACAGGCUCCACAUUUCCCCACAAAUUCCUUAAAUCAUUUAUUAAUACGUUACUUUAAAUUAUCUUCAAAGAAUUCUAAGCCACAUCAGCUGUGGCUGUUUGGAGUUCUUGUACUCCAGAAAAGAUAAUGUUAGGUAGAACAUUUGACUCUAUGAUCUUCAUUUUACCAUAAAUUCCAUGGGGGCACUGAAAUAUCAUAUUAAAUAUGGGUAUUGUGCUAUGUUGAAUUGAAUUUUCUCUGGUUACAAGUAACCAAAAAAGAGAGAGAGAUGAAGCCGAAAACCCAAGGGGUAGAGGGACCUGUGGGUGGGAACCGGUGCGUCCCCGAGGGAAGAGUGCUCCCUUUUGAGGAUCUUGAGGGAGUGGCAGCCACACGUCUCUGGGGACCUUGGUGAGCAGGAACACACUCACCUUCAGAGAUCCCCUCCUAGAGUGCUCGCUGCCUCAGAUGCUUCUAGGUCAAAAUGUCCCCUUUCUGGGAGAGAAAAGUGGAUUGUGCCCUCCUCGCUCAGAGUUCAGCUCUAGACCAGCCAGCCAUGGUGAGAGGGUAGAGCGACAUGACAGGAGUAAGACUUAUAGGAAUCCACUCACGGGCACAGUCAGAGGGAGCCUGUCAUUCACCACACAUGACUUUAAUCCUUUAACCACAUAUUACAGUUAAGGGUGAGCUUUAUUUUCCAUAGCAGAGCAAUAAGCACAUUAAAUGAUGUCUUCUUUCCUCAUAUUUUAUUUUCAAGACUUUUUAAAAUUUAUUGAGACCCAGUGCAGAGGUGUGACCAGUGGAGAAUAGAGGAUAGGUCUGGUGUCUUGGUAUGCAAUGGGCGGUAUGUGAAAGGUAAACUCUGUGAUUACUCUGAACAUACAAUCAAGAACAAAUCUCUUAUUUGGUUACUUUUUUAAUAGAAUUUAAAUUUUAAAAAAAGUGGUCCAAAAAUGUAUCAUUAUUGUUCUUUGCCAUGAAUAUUAAUUGGCUUCUAGUCUUAAACGUGUGUAGACCCAUGCAUGUAUAUUUUAGUAUCAUUGUCCUUCAUCACAUCUAAAAGUUAAGCUAUCUACAGUCUUUCUAAAUAUGUAGAUGGAAACCCAUAAUUAAUGUCUAUAUUAUGUGUGCAUAAAUAUAGUUGAUGAAGUCACUAUUUUGGUAGCUGUCUUUGUUUGAAGUCCCAUUUCUUUGUCUUACACAAAUGUCCUAAGUCUGUUUCCCAUAAUAUGGUGCCCAUAACACAUCUACUACAAGACCUGAGGUGAAAAGACUGCAGAGAUGCUUUUCUAGAAGUCUAGAGAACAACUCAGCACGUCUGCAAUGGCUUCAUUACUAGGACAGGGAUUGUGUCAGUCUGUCCCCAUCAUCAGGUCCUGGGGGUGUUAGAAACUAUGAAAUGUAGGCCCAGCCAUGUGUGUGCAAAGAUUAGCUUCCUGCCUGGUUAACAGAUUAUCUUUCU
Long non-coding RNA from Manis pentadactyla (Chinese pangolin), 3627 nucleotides. RefSeq lists it as uncharacterized. The transcript has 4 exons. NCBI's taxonomy places the organism in Eukaryota, Metazoa, Chordata, Mammalia, Pholidota, Manidae. The record is from RefSeq and is a predicted model, not a curated record.